This 73-nucleotide transfer RNA is filed under the name Stegodyphus mimosarum. It matches the Rfam family "tRNA". From Rfam's summary of the family: Transfer RNA (tRNA) molecules are approximately 80 nucleotides in length. Lineage: Eukaryota; Metazoa; Arthropoda; Arachnida; Araneae; Eresidae. The record is from Rfam by way of RNAcentral.
GCCUUCGUGGUGUAGUGGUCAGCACGCUCGACGCGCAACCGAGAGGUCCGUGGUUCGAUUCCCGGAGAAGGCG